GCCUCUGCCUCCCUUUCCUAAGCAAUCCCUCCCAUACACCUUAUGAAUGAUUCAGGUGCAACCACAGCUGCCUGUGUCUGGCUCCAGGUAGCUUCUUGAAAGCAGAUCUUCCUUGAGUUGGGAAGUUCCCCAGACUACGGACAGUUUUCCCUCUAAUUAAUGUUCCCUUUUCUACUAAGUUGAGAGACGAGGAGAAAAGGAGACAACUAGAGAGAAGGCGCGGACUGGGAUGCAUCACCUUGCAGUGUAACCAGCUGGAUUGUUUCUACACACUGGAUCAACACUGUAACCAGCUGGAUUGUCCAACAAUGUAACCAGCUAGAUUGUUUCUACACACUGAACCAACAAUGUAACCAGCUGGCUUGUCCAACAAUGUAACCAGCUGGAUUGCUUCUACACACUGAACCAACAAUGUAACCAGCUAGAUUGUUUCUACACACUGAACCAACAAUGUAACCAGCUGGAUUGUCCAACAAUGUAACCAGCUGGAUUGCUUCUACACCCUGGACCAACAAUGUUGGCAUCUGGUUUGUUGCUAAAGCUCUGGACUUGGUUUUUCUUGAUUAUGUAUUUAACACUGCUAUCAUCUUACUUUUGAGGUUUUCAUCUUAAGAUGUUUUCUCUGUAACUAGGUAUACACAGUUCAGCACAUUCUAAAACAUUUGAACCAUUGGGGUUUCAGUCCUUAAA
Molecule: long non-coding RNA, 690 nt
Organism: Mus musculus (house mouse)
Lineage: Eukaryota; Metazoa; Chordata; Mammalia; Rodentia; Muridae
Product: predicted gene, 30725
Exons: 2
Source: RefSeq, a predicted model, not a curated record